This 541-nucleotide ribosomal RNA is filed under the name Clostridioides difficile. Its description in RNAcentral is "bacterial LSU rRNA". It matches the Rfam family "Bacterial large subunit ribosomal RNA", at positions 2185 to 2724 of the family's 2925-position model. The record is from RNAcentral. Lineage: Bacteria; Bacillati; Bacillota; Clostridia; Peptostreptococcales; Peptostreptococcaceae.
GCCAUCCUUGGGAUACCACCCUUGUAGUACUGGGACUCUAACCAUAGGCCAUGAAUCUGGUCUUGGGACACUGUCAGGUGGGCAGUUUGACUGGGGCGGUCGCCUCCCAAAAGGUAACGGAGGCGCUCAAAGGUUCUCUCAGUACGGUCGGAAAUCGUACGUAGAGUGUAAAGGCAACAGAGAGCUUGAUUGCAAGACAUACAGGUCGAGCAAGGAUGAAAAUCGGACUUAGUGAUCCGGUGGUUCUGCGUGGAAGGGCCAUCGCUCAACGGAUAAAAGCUACCCUGGGGAUAACAGGCUUAUCUCCCCCAAGAGUCCACAUCGACGGGGAGGUUUGGCACCUCGAUGUCGGCUCAUCACAUCCUGGGGCUGUAGUAGGUCCCAAGGGUUGGGCUGUUCGCCCAUUAAAGUGGUACGCGAGCUGGGUUCAGAACGUCGUGAGACAGUUCGGUCCCUAUCCGUCGCAGGCGUAGGAAAUUUGAGAAGACCUGUCCUUAGUACGAGAGGACCGGGAUGGACGUACCUCUGGUGUACCAGUUGU